AUGUUACUAGUAAAAUAUUACAUUGCCUUGUCAAGGCAGCAUUGUAGGUUAAAGCCCUGCGUACCAUA
RNAcentral lists this transfer RNA (68 nucleotides) under Hyphessobrycon amapaensis. RNAcentral's name for it is "tRNA-Asp". It matches the Rfam family "tRNA". Rfam says of the family: Transfer RNA (tRNA) molecules are approximately 80 nucleotides in length. Their secondary structure includes four short double-helical elements and three loops (D, anti-codon, and T loops). The record is from RNAcentral. Lineage: Eukaryota; Metazoa; Chordata; Actinopteri; Characiformes; Acestrorhamphidae.